Dicentrarchus labrax (European seabass) is the source of this 353-nucleotide long non-coding RNA. RefSeq lists it as uncharacterized. Lineage: Eukaryota; Metazoa; Chordata; Actinopteri; Moronidae. The record is from RefSeq and is a predicted model, not a curated record. The transcript has 2 exons.
GCCGGGGGAAACCUCCGGAACAGGAGUCAUGUCCUCCUGAGAGACAGCGACAGCAAAGGGGACAGAGAGAGAGAGAGAGAAAGUGGACAAAUAUAUCAGUGUGUAUGCUGUCCACAGAGGCAUGGCCAGCUCUCUGCUGUACCCGCUGAUGAACUCCACAUGAUGAAGCAAACUGUACUGAGUGUCAAACAUCACGGCUGGACGACCAAACGGGAGGUGUGUACUGUCUGCACAAACACACACACAGGGACACACACAGUUACUCCCUAUUGGCUGAGAGAAGAAUGAAGUUUAAUCAAACAGGCCAAAAACAAAAGUAUAAGAAACCUACUGUAACUGUAGAUUCCAUCUGG